GUUAAGCGACUAAGCGUACACGGUGGAUGCCCUGGCAGUCAGAGGCGAUGAAGGACGUGCUAAUCUGCGAUAAGCGUCGGUAAGGUGAUAUGAACCGUUAUAACCGGCGAUUUCCGAAUGGGGAAACCCAGUGUGAUUCGUCACACUAUCAUUAACUGAAUCCAUAGGUUAAUGAGGCGAACCGGGGGAACUGAAACAUCUAAGUACCCCGAGGAAAAGAAAUCAACCGAGAUUCCCCCAGUAGCGGCGAGCGAACGGGGAGCAGCCCAGAGCCUGAAUCAGUGUGUGUGUUAGUGGAAGCGUCUGGAAAGGCGCGCGAUACAGGGUGACAGCCCCGUACACAAAAAUGCACAUGCUGUGAGCUCGAUGAGUAGGGCGGGACACGUGGUAUCCUGUCUGAAUAUGGGGGGACCAUCCUCCAAGGCUAAAUACUCCUGACUGACCGAUAGUGAACCAGUACCGUGAGGGAAAGGCGAAAAGAACCCCGGCGAGGGGAGUGAAAAAGAACCUGAAACCGUGUACGUACAAGCAGUGGGAGCACAGAGCAAUCUGUGUGACUGCGUACCUUUUGUAUAAUGGGUCAGCGACUUAUAUUCUGUAGCAAGGUUAACCGAAUAGGGGAGCCGAAGGGAAACCGAGUCUUAACUGGGCGUUAAGUUGCAGGGUAUAGACCCGAAACCCGGUGAUCUAGCCAUGGGCAGGUUGAAGGUUGGGUAACACUAACUGGAGGACCGAACCGACUAAUGUUGAAAAAUUAGCGGAUGACUUGUGGCUGGGGGUGAAAGGCCAAUCAAACCGGGAGAUAGCUGGUUCUCCCCGAAAGCUAUUUAGGUAGCGCCUCGUGAAUUCAUCUCCGGGGGUAGAGCACUGUUUCGGCAAGGGGGUCAUCCCGACUUACCAACCCGAUGCAAACUGCGAAUACCGGAGAAUGUUAUCACGGGAGACACACGGCGGGUGCUAACGUCCGUCGUGAAGAGGGAAACAACCCAGACCGCCAGCUAAGGUCCCAAAGUCAUGGUUAAGUGGGAAACGAUGUGGGAAGGCCCAGACAGCCAGGAUGUUGGCUUAGAAGCAGCCAUCAUUUAAAGAAAGCGUAAUAGCUCACUGGUCGAGUCGGCCUGCGCGGAAGAUGUAACGGGGCUAAACCAUGCACCGAAGCUGCGGCAGCGACACUGUGUGUUGUUGGGUAGGGGAGCGUUCUGUAAGCCUGCGAAGGUGUGCUGUGAGGCAUGCUGGAGGUAUCAGAAGUGCGAAUGCUGACAUAAGUAACGAUAAAGCGGGUGAAAAGCCCGCUCGCCGGAAGACCAAGGGUUCCUGUCCAACGUUAAUCGGGGCAGGGUGAGUCGACCCCUAAGGCGAGGCCGAAAGGCGUAGUCGAUGGGAAACAGGUUAAUAUUCCUGUACUUGGUGUUACUGCGAAGGGGGGACGGAGAAGGCUAUGUUGGCCGGGCGACGGUUGUCCCGGUUUAAGCGUGUAGGCUGGUUUUCCAGGCAAAUCCGGAAAAUCAAGGCUGAGGCGUGAUGACGAGGCACUACGGUGCUGAAGCAACAAAUGCCCUGCUUCCAGGAAAAGCCUCUAAGCAUCAGGUAACAUCAAAUCGUACCCCAAACCGACACAGGUGGUCAGGUAGAGAAUACCAAGGCGCUUGAGAGAACUCGGGUGAAGGAACUAGGCAAAAUGGUGCCGUAACUUCGGGAGAAGGCACGCUGAUAUGUAGGUGAAGUCCCUCGCGGAUGGAGCUGAAAUCAGUCGAAGAUACCAGCUGGCUGCAACUGUUUAUUAAAAACACAGCACUGUGCAAACACGAAAGUGGACGUAUACGGUGUGACGCCUGCCCGGUGCCGGAAGGUUAAUUGAUGGGGUCAGCGCAAGCGAAGCUCUUGAUCGAAGCCCCGGUAAACGGCGGCCGUAACUAUAACGGUCCUAAGGUAGCGAAAUUCCUUGUCGGGUAAGUUCCGACCUGCACGAAUGGCGUAAUGAUGGCCAGGCUGUCUCCACCCGAGACUCAGUGAAAUUGAACUCGCUGUGAAGAUGCAGUGUACCCGCGGCAAGACGGAAAGACCCCGUGAACCUUUACUAUAGCUUGACACUGAACAUUGAGCCUUGAUGUGUAGGAUAGGUGGGAGGCUUUGAAGUGUGGACGCCAGUCUGCAUGGAGCCGACCUUGAAAUACCACCCUUUAAUGUUUGAUGUUCUAACGUUGACCCGUGAUCCGGGUUGCGGACAGUGUCUGGUGGGUAGUUUGACUGGGGCGGUCUCCUCCUAAAGAGUAACGGAGGAGCACGAAGGUUGGCUAAUCCUGGUCGGACAUCAGGAGGUUAGUGCAAUGGCAUAAGCCAGCUUGACUGCGAGCGUGACGGCGCGAGCAGGUGCGAAAGCAGGUCAUAGUGAUCCGGUGGUUCUGAAUGGAAGGGCCAUCGCUCAACGGAUAAAAGGUACUCCGGGGAUAACAGGCUGAUACCGCCCAAGAGUUCAUAUCGACGGCGGUGUUUGGCACCUCGAUGUCGGCUCAUCACAUCCUGGGGCUGAAGUAGGUCCCAAGGGUAUGGCUGUUCGCCAUUUAAAGUGGUACGCGAGCUGGGUUUAGAACGUCGUGAGACAGUUCGGUCCCUAUCUGCCGUGGGCGCUGGAGAACUGAGGGGGGCUGCUCCUAGUACGAGAGGACCGGAGUGGACGCAUCACUGGUGUUCGGGUUGUCAUGCCAAUGGCACUGCCCGGUAGCUAAAUGCGGAAGAGAUAAGUGCUGAAAGCAUCUAAGCACGAAACUUGCCCCGAGAUGAGUUCUCCCUGACCCUUUAAGGGUCCU
This 2807-nucleotide ribosomal RNA is filed under the name Escherichia coli. RNAcentral describes it as "partial 23S ribosomal RNA". It matches the Rfam family "Bacterial large subunit ribosomal RNA". Lineage: Bacteria; Pseudomonadati; Pseudomonadota; Gammaproteobacteria; Enterobacterales; Enterobacteriaceae. The record is from RNAcentral.